CCUAAUAUGGCAAAAAUUUUAAUAUUACAGUCAAAAAAAGCCUGAGCAACCCAACCAAAUUGCUUGCAAUCGAAGGUACCCAUCUGUUUCUUCACUGUCAAUCAAUUAUUCCCUUAUCUUCCUCCCUCCUCUUCUUCAUCUCAUGGCCACAAAACCCUAACCCACUUUUCCAUUUCUUCUCUUUCUCUCACCUCUUCAAUGGGUCGGGAAACCUCUGCGACGCCGCAGACACCGGCACCCGCGGCUGCGGUAGCACCUGCAGGGAAGAUGAAAACGACGGCUUUGGCACCUGGCUUUCGAUUUCAUCCCACGGAUGAGGAGCUUGUCAGUUACUACUU
This 338-nucleotide unclassified non-coding RNA is filed under the name Hevea brasiliensis (rubber tree). Lineage: Eukaryota; Viridiplantae; Streptophyta; Magnoliopsida; Malpighiales; Euphorbiaceae. The record is from RNAcentral.